This 1439-nucleotide long non-coding RNA is filed under the name Cricetulus griseus (Chinese hamster). RNAcentral describes it as "lncRNA (ENSCGRG00015031591.1)". Lineage: Eukaryota; Metazoa; Chordata; Mammalia; Rodentia; Cricetidae. The record is from RNAcentral.
GGCAGUCCUUAUCUUGGUAUGGAUAAGAAUCACCUGAAGGUCUUGAUAUUCCAGAUACCUGGGUCACACUCCCGGUGACUCAGAUCCUGCUACUUGACCAGCUCCCUGGUGAUGAUGAUUCCUCAAGUGGGGUUAGCACCAUUCUCAGCCACACUGAACACAAAAGGAAACUGAGAGAUGAAGAAAGUGCAGACUUGGAUUCCAGUGUAUUUCCAGCUCUAGCCAGUCCUUAGAAGAGAUAAAUGAAGAUUUGUCCUCACAAAUAUGUGUAUCCAGCUGUUCUGUGAUGCAAAGUGCUGAGACUGAGCUAUGCAGCUGUGUGUGUCUACAGUGAAGGAUCACCUGGAUGUUUCAGUGAUGAUGGUGUGGAAGCUACAGUGAGUGAGGAAGAGCACAAGAACAUUCCCCGACACAGAGCAAGAAUUCACCCACUGGCAGACAAGGAAAGAGAAAUCCACACUUGAACCUCACGUUUUGAUGUAUUACUUAUGGAGUGUUCCUGUGACCUGUUAGCCACUGGAGUGUGUUCUCAGCAAAUGAUUAUAGACACCUAAUCCCUCACAUUUGACAACCUGUGUCGUAAGAGCCUUACCAUAUUUCAAUCCUGCAGAGGUGUUGCUCUGCAGAGGAGGGAGGGUCAUGAAGGAAAACGUCCCCAGCAUGUCUUCAGACUGUGUGUGAGGAAGUGGGAAGAGCCCAUAGCUGCACAUUGCCCAUUUUUCAGAGUGAAGAUUAAAGGUUUUGUUGUGUCUGUAUGGGCAUCUCCACAUCUGAUAAUAUACCAUAUGACUAUCUAACUUUCCUAUUUGCCUUAUUUGGCCUAAAUUGUUGCUUGGCUGAAGUGUUCAAUCCUAGUCCCUCAAACAUGCCUAUGUUACCAUGUCCCUUUCUCUUGCCUUUGUCAAAGCUUAACAUAUUCUCAAGAAAGGGAUCAGAAUGUCUGGGACUCUAUAUUUUACCUAUACUGAGUGGCAGUUAUAACUCAUUACCAUACUCACACUCUUCUGUCUGAAAGACAGGCCUGCUUUUCUUAGUUAUAAAAUUUGUCCCAUUUUUUUGAUCUCCAAGUCUAGUGGAUGAGCUAUCUCAACUGUGCAUAGAGUAUUUGGCUAUGCUGGCUCCUAACAAGAUGCCAAGUGGUUCACUUGCUUUAUUACUCUUUCCAAAUUGAACAGCCAGCUCAGAGAGAUACACUGUGGCAUCUGCGGAGUGGACAAAAAUAGACAAUCAGUAAUUAGUUAAUAGACAACAAUUUUAGAAAUAAGAAACAAAAACUGAACAUUUUACAUGUGUUUAGAGUCCAACAUUUCUCCAUUUAGCUAAUUUACAUUGAGUCUCUGAUUUUUAUGAAGAUACUAUCUAAGUAUUUAUAAAUUAAGAGGAGGCCUAGUCCAUCAAAACUUUAUAGGCCUCCAUGGGCAGACCAUUGUUACUGAGUG